UGGGGAAUCUUGCGCAAUGGGCGAAAGCCUGACGCAGCCAUGCCGCGUGAAUGAUGAAGGUCUUAGGAUUGUAAAAUUCUUUUAGCAGGGACGAUAAUGACGGUACCUGCAGAAAAAGUCCCGGCUAACUUCGUGCCAGCAGCCGCGGUAAUACGAAGGGGGCUAGCGUUGCUCGGAAUUACUGGGCGUAAAGGGAGCGUAGGCGGGUUAUCAAGUUGGGGGUGAAAGCCCGGGGCUCAACCUCGGAAUUGCCUUCAAAACUGAUAACCUGGAGUAUGGAAGAGGUAAGUGGAACUCCGAGUGUAGAGGUGAAAUUCGUAGAUAUUCGGAAGAACACCAGUGGCGAAGGCGACUUACUGGUCCAUUACUGACGCUGAGGCUCGAAAGCGUGGGGAGCAAAC
RNAcentral lists this ribosomal RNA (401 nucleotides) under uncultured bacterium. Its description in RNAcentral is "bacterial SSU rRNA". It matches the Rfam family "Bacterial small subunit ribosomal RNA", at positions 355 to 773 of the family's 1533-position model. The record is from RNAcentral.